RNAcentral lists this ribosomal RNA (253 nucleotides) under uncultured bacterium. Its description in RNAcentral is "partial 16S ribosomal RNA". It matches the Rfam family "Bacterial small subunit ribosomal RNA", at positions 524 to 776 of the family's 1533-position model. The record is from RNAcentral.
UACGGGGGGGGCAAGCGUUGUUCGGAAUUACUGGGCGUAAAGGGCUCGUAGGCGGCCAGCUAAGUCAGACGUGAAAUCCCUCGGCUUAACCGGGGAACUGCGUCUGAUACUGGAUGGCUUGAAUCCGGGAGAGGGAUGCGGAAUUCCAGGUGUAGCGGUGAAAUGCGUAGAUAUCUGGAGGAACACCGGUGGCGAAGGCGGCAUCCUGGACCGGCAUUGACGCUGAGGAGCGAAAGCCAGGGGAGCAAACGGG